This 253-nucleotide ribosomal RNA is filed under the name uncultured bacterium. Its description in RNAcentral is "partial 16S ribosomal RNA". It matches the Rfam family "Bacterial small subunit ribosomal RNA", at positions 524 to 776 of the family's 1533-position model. The record is from RNAcentral.
UACGUAGGGGGCAAGCGUUGUCCGGAAUUAUUGGGCGUAAAGAGCUCGUAGGCGGUCUGUUACGUCGGCUGUGAAAACCCGGGGCUCAACUCCGGGCCUGCAUUCGAUACGGGCAGACUUGAGUUCGGUAGGGGAGACUGGAAUUCCUGGUGUAGCGGUGAAAUGCGCAGAUAUCAGGAGGAACACCGGUGGCGAAGGCGGGUCUCUGGGCCUUAACUGACGCUGAGGAGCGAAAGCGUGGGGAGCGAACAGG